ACAUAAGUUAGAAAGGGCGCACGGUGGAUGCCUUGGCACUAGGAGCCGAUGAAGGACGGGAUUAACACCGAUAUGCUUUGGGGAGCUGUAAGUAAGCUUUGAUCCAGAGAUUUCCGAAUGGGGAAACCCUCUAUCCGUAAUGGGAUAGAAUCUUUACCUGAAUACAUAGGGUACUGAAGGCAGACCCGGGGAACUGAAACAUCUAAGUACCCGGAGGAAGAGAAAGCAAACGCGAUUCCCUGAGUAGCGGCGAGCGAAACGGGAUUAGCCCAAACCAAGAGGCUUGCCUCUUGGGGUUGUAGGACACUCUAUAUGGAGUUACAAAGGAACGGGGUAGACGAAUCGAUCUGGAAAGGUCAGUCGUAGAAGGUAAAAACCCUGUAGUCGAAACUUCGUUCCCUCUUGAGUGUAUCCUGAGUACGGCGGGACACGAGAAAU
RNAcentral lists this non-coding RNA (438 nucleotides) under Niallia circulans. RNAcentral's name for it is "Bacillus circulans Bacterial large subunit ribosomal RNA". It matches the Rfam family "Bacterial large subunit ribosomal RNA", at positions 1 to 432 of the family's 2925-position model. The record is from Rfam by way of RNAcentral. Lineage: Bacteria; Bacillati; Bacillota; Bacilli; Caryophanales; Bacillaceae.